Long non-coding RNA from Lynx canadensis (Canada lynx), 194 nucleotides. RefSeq lists it as uncharacterized. The transcript is spliced from 3 exons. The record is from RefSeq and is a predicted model, not a curated record. NCBI's taxonomy places the organism in Eukaryota, Metazoa, Chordata, Mammalia, Carnivora, Felidae.
UGCCUGUCCUGCCUGCCUCCCAGGGUGAACUGAGCUGAAGGAUUCUCUAGUGGAAACACUGGGGGCAGCUGCCUCAGUUUCCCCAUCUAUAAAACAAUACGGCCUCAGCGAAUGCCCAGGACCUUGGGGGGACCUCUAAUGGUCCACGUGUGACUCUGCCGUCCUUCAUUCGACGAGCCCUCGCUGAUGGACAU